GCUGGCCUCUCAUAAGCACGCAUGGAGAUAAGACACAUAUUCAUUAAUUAAAUCUUGCAACCGUUGCUUCUGGUUUCUUGCCCCCUUAGUAACCUUCUUGUGUUGAAUACCUGCAAGGAACAGUAGCAACAAACUUUGAACGACAAAUUAUUUGCGAAUUUGAAUUGGAAACAUUUCCUUGUACUUUACAAUAUUUCACAUGCAUUUGGCAAACCCUGUAUAAAAAGUAUUUCGAAUUACUAAUUAUCGGAAGGAGUGAGAGUUUAUUGUAUGUGUAUGACUGUAAUAUAAGUCAUAGUAGAUUGAAAGCAGAAAGAUUUUUUUCUCACCAAGUCCUCUUUAAAUAGUUUCAAUAGUAUAUUUCCACUUUUCUUUUGCUUUUUAAGAACAUUUCCUGGCAUUUCUCAGAUCAGACAAAAUUCAUAUACUAAUAGAUUCUAUUGUUAUUUUCUCUUUUCUACCAGCUGAAGCAUAACUUUGGCUCAAUACACCAUACACAUGGUCGGGUCAUCAACUUCUUUAUUUUUGGUCCAUUUCCUGUAGGAGAGACUUCCAAUGCCCCAGACUGGAGUGAGGGAAAAACAUAAGAUCAAAAUAAAAGCAUUGUGAAGGAAACAGUUGAACUUCACCUGACACACCUAAUAUGUAUGUCCUACAGUGUGUGGUGUCCAAAUGUUGGCUUUCCAUCCUCUGUCAUGCUUCUGGGAUACUUUCAGACUCCUGGUGUGAGCAGUCUCCCAGAUGAAAAUCACUGGCCCAGCAACAUCUUUUCUGGCUGACACAUCUAUCUCUCCUUUGUCCUCGAUCGCAGUAAUCCAUCCCCUAUGAUUCCCUCGGCAAGAUCGUUUCCUCCUCACAGGUGAUUAGCUCUAUAACUCAUGCUUGGCAUUCACUUCAGGAUGGCUCCAGCCUGCUUCCCUUCUAUGGAGCCCACACGAGGCUCAGGAUCAUGGGAAAAUGUAGGAUUGUCCACCUUAUCUCUGGAAUGGACUGGGGAUCCGCUCCCUCUAAACUAGGAGGACAAGUGCUUCCCUCUUCUCACCUGAUCUAACAAAGAGCCAUGGAUGGUUGGCUUAAACAGCUGUUGCUGUCUCAUAGUGUUAGAGGCCGAAAAGGCCAAGAUUCAGUUCCUCAAGGAAGGCUUUCUUACUGGUACAUUAUGGGCACACUUGGGAUUUUGCUCUUCUUUACCCUGCAAUUUGAGUCUAUGAGCAGCACAGAGGGACUGUUCUCUGUAAAUGGACAAUGUCACAUGAGGAAGAAAUCCAUUUCUGUUCUGCAUAAGCUGGGUGGUGGUUUAUCUUCAUGAUCAACACAGCUGUAUUGGAGUGAACCAAGGAGACAGUAACACAUAACCGCUAGGUGCGUCUGGAAGCCUCUUCUAGAGAUUAGGGAUGUGCUGUAGAAUAUUGGACAAAGAAUGGGGUACUUGAUCCUGUAUAUAGUGCUGUUGUUAAACUGAAGCAGAAGUACCAGUAGACUUAGCAGAAAAAUCAACUUGGCCUCUCGUAUGAAUAGGUCAGCAUGUGCACAACUGAGCCCAGGACUCCAGAGAGCUCCAUCACUGCAGACUGCAACAGGCUUUUAGUCUCUAUAACUUGCUACUCAUUUUCCCAAAGACCAUCUAAUGACAUAGCCACACGAUAAUCCUCUCCACAUAUUUCUCUGCUCACACAUCCAGCAAUAUUUUUACAAGCAAAUCUCAGAUUAAAAUUUAUUUGUUUCUCUUAAAUC
Molecule: long non-coding RNA, 1734 nt
Filed under: Mus pahari (shrew mouse)
Lineage: Eukaryota; Metazoa; Chordata; Mammalia; Rodentia; Muridae
Description: predicted gene, 26743 (MGP_PahariEiJ_G0005465.1)
Source: RNAcentral